AGAAGAGGGGGGGGGGGGGCAGUCAGCUGGUCAACACACAGGAAACUUCCUCCACAUGUUCAGCGACCUGCACGCGCCUUCAUGACGGCCAAGGUGUUGCUGUUGUUCUUCGCUAAGAGCGCCGAGCUGACUGGACUGAAGCAGGAAGAGGCUGUUGCCGUGCCAACACCAAUCAGCAGCCGGGACCUUUGGACACUGUUGCUACGGCGACACCCGAGACUCUCCGUCCUGCAGGAUCAGGUGGUGUUGGCGGUGCGUCAUCAGUACGUUGCCAUCGGCGACCAGGUGGUGACUCUGGGAGACGGGGACGAGGUUGCCGUGGUACCGCCGCUCAGCGGAGGCUAGAGUCACGCGGAUGAUUUCUUCCUCUCAGAUGGCCGAGUCGGAGGAGCGGCGAGACGUCUUCAAGCUGAGCCGUGAUUGGCUGUCCGUACAGGAAGUGGUGGACUCCGUCAGCAGUGCUUCCUGUGGAGCCAUUUCUGUUUUUAUAGGAACGACCCGAGGACGAGGUUGACAGCAGGAAGGUGAUUGGUCUGGAGUACGAGGCGUACGAGCCCAUGGCCCAAUCAGAGUUCAGGAAGCUGUGUGAUGACAUCAGAGGGCGCUGGCCAACCGUGACGCACGUCUGUGUUCACCACCGGCUCGGGUGGGUAAGGUGGGAGAGGCCAGUGUUGUCAUGGCUCUCGUCUCCUCACCGGCAGUACGGUCAGCAGGCGAUCCAGCACUGCAUCACCCGCUGAAGGUCCAGGUCCCCAUCUGAAGAAGGAAGUGUACGACACCGAGGAGUCGAGCUGGAAGGAGAACGCUGAGUGUUGGUGGGCCGCGCACAACAAACUUCCUCCUGACACACAACUCUAGACACACAACUCUAGACACACAACUCUAGACACACAACUCUAGAAACACAACACAGACACACACUACAGACGCACAAGUCUAGACACACAACACAGACACACAACACAGACACACAACACAGACGCACAACUCUAGACACACAACACAGACACACAACUCUA
RNA transcript from Etheostoma spectabile (orangethroat darter), 1019 nucleotides. It is a transcript of the gene named molybdenum cofactor synthesis 2, with no coding region annotated. The transcript has 7 exons. The record is from RefSeq and is a predicted model, not a curated record. NCBI's taxonomy places the organism in Eukaryota, Metazoa, Chordata, Actinopteri, Perciformes, Percidae.